RNAcentral lists this ribosomal RNA (414 nucleotides) under Triticum aestivum (bread wheat). Its description in RNAcentral is "partial small subunit ribosomal RNA". The record is from RNAcentral. Lineage: Eukaryota; Viridiplantae; Streptophyta; Magnoliopsida; Poales; Poaceae.
AUGUCUGGGUAUAACAAUCACUUGAUUCAACUACGAGUUAAUCUUCCGGAUGAUAGCGUCAUCGACAGAAUUCUUCAAUCACUGCCAUCAAGCUACAAGAGCUUCGUGAUGAACUAUAACGUGCAAGGGAUGGAUAAGACGAUUCCCAAGCUCUUCGCAAUGCUAAAAGUUGCGGAGGUAGAAAUCAUGAAGGAGCAUCAAGUGUUGAUGGUUAAUAAGACCACCAGUUUCAAGAAAAAGGGCAAAGGGAAGAAGAAGGGAACUUCAAGAAGAACAGCAGACAAGUUGCUGCUCAAGAGAAGAAACCCAAGUCUGGACCUAAGCCUGAGACUGAGUGCUUCUACUGCAAGCAGACUGGUCACUGGAAGCGGAACUGCCCCAAGUAUUUGGCGGAUAAGAAGGAUGGCAAGGUGA